AGCUUCGGCCACACCGCCUGGUUCACGCCCGAUCUCGUUUGAUCUCGGAAGCUAAGAUAGGUUGCCUGGUUAGUACUUGGAUGGGAGACCGCCUGGGAAUACCAGGUGCUGUGCUUU
Ribosomal RNA from Scophthalmus maximus (turbot), 117 nucleotides. The record is from Ensembl. NCBI's taxonomy places the organism in Eukaryota, Metazoa, Chordata, Actinopteri, Pleuronectiformes, Scophthalmidae.